GAGGCAUAGCUCAGCUGGUUAGAGCGCACGCUUCACAUGCGUGAGGUCGCGGGUUCGAGUCCCUCUGCCUCC
RNAcentral lists this transfer RNA (72 nucleotides) under human gut metagenome. It matches the Rfam family "tRNA". From Rfam's summary of the family: Transfer RNA (tRNA) molecules are approximately 80 nucleotides in length. Their secondary structure includes four short double-helical elements and three loops (D, anti-codon, and T loops). Further hydrogen bonds mediate the characteristic L-shaped molecular structure. tRNAs have two regions of fundamental functional importance: the anti-codon, which is responsible for specific mRNA codon recognition, and the 3' end, to which the tRNAs corresponding amino acid is attached (by aminoacyl-tRNA synthetases). tRNAs cope with the degeneracy of the genetic code in two manners: having more than one tRNA (with a specific anti-codon) for a particular amino acid; and 'wobble' base-pairing, i.e. permitting non-standard base-pairing at the 3rd anti-codon position. The record is from RNAcentral.